UUCAUAAAUAAUUUCCUUUCAAUAUUCAUUCUGAAUUGUGUUGUAUUCAAAGGUGACAUGACUCUGCUUUGCACAACGUAUCAGCGUCUUCUUGAUACUUUUGAAGUUUUUGAACAAUAUAAAUCCGUGUGCAUAAAAUCGGACUAAACAUUGAGUAUCACUGCUCUAUUGGGACCGCAUUCCCGGCCUCGCCAACACAGCGUUUGAAGACUGCAUUUGGAGCGGCGAUCCACCGAUUCCGAUUCCCAGACCGCUGCCACAUUCUCGGCGAUGCUUGUGUUCCUCACGAGACACGCAAGUAGAACACUGGGAUUGGCCAAGGACACGUGUGUACGUGUGUGAUUGUCACGUGCGAGAUUUUCAUGAGCAAUAAUCACAAUAAUUCACGACAAGGAACACUGGUAUAGUGCGAGCACCUGACUUUAUAAUGCUGCCGAGUCCUGGGCCUCCGUCCCUGCACCGAGUCAUUAAGUCCAAGAAGCUUAAUAGGAACUGAUCUAAUAUGCACUUCCGGUUCUCCAGUGAAAUUCAGCCUGGAAUUUAAA
Molecule: long non-coding RNA, 545 nt
Organism: Cephus cinctus (wheat stem sawfly)
Lineage: Eukaryota; Metazoa; Arthropoda; Insecta; Hymenoptera; Cephidae
Exons: 3
Source: RefSeq, a predicted model, not a curated record